Non-coding RNA from Hydra vulgaris (swiftwater hydra), 1062 nucleotides. Lineage: Eukaryota; Metazoa; Cnidaria; Hydrozoa; Anthoathecata; Hydridae. The record is from RefSeq and is a predicted model, not a curated record.
UUAUCAAUGGAAUUAAUUUAACUUUAAAUAUCAAAAAAUUAGUAAAACAUGUUAACAACCAUAUACUGUAGUUUUGUAGCAAACAAUAUUGUAACAACGUGUUAAUGACAUUGUAGCUUUAGAGCAUGAAAUACAUCUAUGUAAAAAAUCAGUUUUUAACUAAAUGCAAGUCAAUUCUUGUGAAAAUACUUGUAACUAAACAAUCCUCAAGGAAAAUACGGCAACCGAUACUUUUAGCGCAGACUUUAACUAGUUAUUAACUAAUAAUAUUAACUGUAUCUAUGGUUACAAGUAUUACUAGUUUUUAUGGUUACAAGUAUUAGUAGUUAGUUUCUAAUUAAUUUUCAAAAGGAUGCAAUUUAUUGAUCUUAGACUAUCGCUACCGGCUAAAUCAACUCUGAAAUAAAAUAUAUUCUUAUAAUUUCAACUAUUGCAACCUUAACUGGAUUACAUUUAUGUAACUAUAAAUCUUUCAUUUGCACAUGAGUUGGUUCUGCACUAAAACGUCAUUGAUGAAGUCUUCUUAGAAAAAAACGUCAUUUAUGAGAAGUUUUUUUAAACCAACAAAUAUAAAAACAAUUGGUGGUUUUGUGGGCUAUCCUCCUCCGGCUUUCUAUAUAGAGACUGCAUACUAAGGCCCGCGAAGACGGGUUCAGCUCGUUAAAGGGAAAUCCUCUUUCUACUUACCAAGAGUAAGUGAGUUUAAGAACAAUGAAGGAUGGUAGAAUGAAAUUCUGAAGAAGUCGAGUUAAAUAGAUAGCUAAGAGAAAUCGGACAGAUAUUGCACCGGAUGUUAGAAUGUGCAAUUAUAUAUUAAUCAGUUACAAAUAAUUUUAAUGUUGCAAACUAUAAUAAUUUGACUAUUUAAACAAUCCAAUUGGUAGUUUUGUUCGUAAAGAUUUUCAUCAAAUUUAAAUCUAGUAUGUGGCUGUUGUUGAGUGUUUUUUCAAAUUUUUAUUUUACAUAUUGCGGUCUUAUAUACUUUUGUAUUAAAUAUUUUGGCGUUAAAUAUUUAUAUAUAUUCUUAGUGACUUUAUAUAUUUUUAUAAUAUAUAUUGCUAU